CCUACGGGAGGCUGCAGUGGGGAAUAUUGGACAAUGGGGGCAACCCUGAUCCAGCCAGGCCGCGUGUGUGAAGAAGGCCCUCGGGUUGUAAAGCACUUUCAGUGAGGAAGAACGCCUGGUGGUUAAUACCCAUCAGGAAAGACAUCACUCACAGAAGAAGCACCGGCUAACUCCGUGCCAGCAGCCGCGGUAAUACGGAGGGUGCGAGCGUUAAUCGGAAUUACUGGGCGUAAAGCGCGCGUAGGUGGCUUGAUAAGCCGGUUGUGAAAGCCCCGGGCUCAACCUGGGAACGGCAUCCGGAACUGUCAAGCUAGAGUGCAGGAGAGGAAGGUAGAAUUCCCGGUGUAGCGGUGAAAUGCGUAGAGAUCGGGAGGAAUACCAGUGGCGAAGGCGGCCUUCUGGACUGACACUGACACUGAGGUGCGAAAGCGUGGGUAGCAAACAGGAUUAGAUACCCUUGUAGUC
Molecule: ribosomal RNA, 465 nt
Filed under: Vreelandella stevensii
Lineage: Bacteria; Pseudomonadati; Pseudomonadota; Gammaproteobacteria; Oceanospirillales; Halomonadaceae
Description: partial 16S ribosomal RNA
Rfam family: Bacterial small subunit ribosomal RNA
Source: RNAcentral